Molecule: small nucleolar RNA, 88 nt
Filed under: Meriones unguiculatus (Mongolian gerbil)
Lineage: Eukaryota; Metazoa; Chordata; Mammalia; Rodentia; Muridae
Description: Small nucleolar RNA SNORA17 (ENSMUGG00000010996.1)
Rfam family: Small nucleolar RNA SNORA17
About the family: snoRNA ACA 17 belongs to the H/ACA family of snoRNAs and is predicted to guide pseudouridylation of the 28S rRNA at positions U4659 and U4598.
Source: RNAcentral
CCUGCCCCUGGAGGUGGUGGCAGAGAGGAGAGAGGCUGGUUUACACUCAGUGUUCUGUGAACAUCUGAAUGACUAAUAGCCUAACACU